CCUACGGGCUGCACCAGUGGGGAAUAUUGCACAAUGGGCGCAAGCCUGAUGCAGCCAUGCCGCGUGUAUGAAGAAGGCCUUCGGGUUGUAAAGCACUUUCAGUAGGGAGGAAGGUAGUGUAGUUAACACCUGCAUUAUUCGACGUUACCUACAGAAGAAGCACCGGCUAACUCCGUGCCAGCAGCCGCGGUAAUACGGAGGGUGCGAGCGUUAAUCGGAAUUACUGGGCGUAAAGCGCAUGCAGGCGGCCUGUUAAGUCAGAUGUGAAAGCCCGGGGCUUAACCUCGGAAUUGCAUUUGAAACUGGCAGGCUAGAGUCUUGUAGAGGGGGGUAGAAUUUCAGGUGUAGCGGUGAAAUGCGUAGAGAUCUGAAGGAAUACCAGUGGCGAAGGCGGCCCCCUGGACAAAGACUGACGCUCAGUUGCGAAAGCGUGGGGAGCAAACAGGAUUAGAUACCCCCGUAGUC
RNAcentral lists this ribosomal RNA (465 nucleotides) under uncultured bacterium. RNAcentral's name for it is "bacterial SSU rRNA". It matches the Rfam family "Bacterial small subunit ribosomal RNA", at positions 338 to 795 of the family's 1533-position model. The record is from RNAcentral.